UACAGAGGGGGCAAGCGUUGUUCGGAAUUACUGGGCGUAAAGGGCGCGUAGGCGGCCCGCUAAGUCGAACGUGAAAUCCCCGAGCUCAACUCGGGAACUGCGUCCGAUACUGGCGGGCUUGAAUCCGGGAGAGGGAUGCGGAAUUCCAGGUGUAGCGGUGAAAUGCGCAGAUAUCGGGAGGAACACCAAUUGCGAAGGCAGCUCGCUGGGACGUUACUGACGCUGAGACGCGAAAGCGUGGGGAGCAAACAGG
RNAcentral lists this ribosomal RNA (253 nucleotides) under uncultured bacterium. RNAcentral describes it as "partial 16S ribosomal RNA". It matches the Rfam family "Bacterial small subunit ribosomal RNA", at positions 524 to 776 of the family's 1533-position model. The record is from RNAcentral.